GCGCGAUUAGCUCAGCGGGAGAGCACUUCCCUGACACGGAAGAGGUCACUGGUUCAAUCCCAGUAUCGCGCACCA
RNAcentral lists this transfer RNA (75 nucleotides) under Mycobacterium leprae. RNAcentral's name for it is "tRNA-Val". It matches the Rfam family "tRNA". From Rfam's summary of the family: Transfer RNA (tRNA) molecules are approximately 80 nucleotides in length. The record is from RNAcentral. RNAcentral also lists the same sequence under 8 other names. Lineage: Bacteria; Bacillati; Actinomycetota; Actinomycetes; Mycobacteriales; Mycobacteriaceae.